UUUACAUUUGUUGUCAUCAUUCGGGGACUUAUUUUCUUAUUGACUUCCCCAUGGGGAUUCUCCUCUUGCAGUUGAUUGGAUGGAAAAACUUUUCCAAUUUGUGUAUUGCUAUCUAUCACAUUUAUGCAGAGAGUCAUUGGGUCAAUCGGCUCAGGAUGAUCCUCUCGUGUAGAUGUAGAAGCAAUUUCGGAUUUAGGACUGCUAUUGCUUCUUGAGUCAGCUACACCAGGCUGCAUUGCAGCACUCUCUCUGAUAAUCUCCUGCUUCUGGUUCCCUUCUCUUUGCUUGUGGGAUGCUAAUUCACUUCCAACUUUUACAGCAUUAUUACCUUUGUUCUGUACUCUUUGCUGAUUUGGUGUGGAAUUCCGGUUUUCCUGGGUGUUCUCUGCUGCUUCUCUCGAGAGGCUUCUUGAGUCAGAUACACCAUUUUG
This 431-nucleotide unclassified non-coding RNA is filed under the name Hevea brasiliensis (rubber tree). The record is from RNAcentral. Lineage: Eukaryota; Viridiplantae; Streptophyta; Magnoliopsida; Malpighiales; Euphorbiaceae.